RNAcentral lists this ribosomal RNA (468 nucleotides) under uncultured bacterium. RNAcentral's name for it is "partial 16S ribosomal RNA". It matches the Rfam family "Bacterial small subunit ribosomal RNA", at positions 28 to 507 of the family's 1533-position model. The record is from RNAcentral.
GACGAACGCUGGCGGCGUGCUUAACACAUGCAAGUCGAACGGAAAGGCCCUGCUUUUGUGGGGUGCUCGAGUGGCGAACGGGUGAGUAACACGUGAGUAACCUGCCCUUGACUUUGGGAUAACUUCAGGAAACUGGGGCUAAUACCGGAUAGGAGCUCCUGCUGCAUGGUGGGGGUUGGAAAGUUUCGGCGGUUGGGGAUGGACUCGCGGCUUAUCAGCUUGUUGGUGGGGUAGUGGCUUACCAAGGCUUUGACGGGUAGCCCGCCUUAGAGGGGGACCGGCCACCAUGGGACUGAGAGACGGCCCAGACGCCUACGGGAGGCAGCAGUGGGGAACAUGGCACAACGGGCGGACGUCUGAUGCAGAAACGUCGCGUGCGUGAUGACGGCUUUCGGGGUGUAAACCGCUUUCGCCUGUGACGAAGCGUGAGUGACGGUAAUGGGUAAAGAAGCACCGGCUAACUACGUG